GAAGGUCCUAUCCCCACCUCUCCCUCUCGGGGCCAGAAGACUAGUUAGACAUCUUGGAUUCCCCUCCAGGGCGGGAAAACCAAAGUGAGCUGGGAGCGUGCCUCCCACAUUCCAAGCCCGGGCCCUCUGCGUGACGCUGACGCUGGGUAGGGACAGAUGGCACUGUUCAGCAUUGUCGCAGGGAGAGCACAGGUUGAGCCCAUCCCUGGGAGAGGGUGCGUCGUGAUGGAAACAUUUGCUCCUGAGCAGGCUCUUUGUCCCAGAAAGAGGAUGCGAAGGGGUGAUAUAAAAUCCACCUUGGAGCCAUCUCAGGGCUGGUUGUUCUUGAUUCCUCUGAAGACCUGGAGCUGCCUGUGUGAAUCAGACUGGAAAAACACGUGGCUGCACUUUUCCAUGAAGUAGGUAACAAAGCCACAGUUCAUGCCUGGGAAACUUGCCCUAGCAUCUCCGCCAGGAGAGCAAGCCGACUCAUGCCUGGACUCCCACACGAGGGCCAGUGCCAAGUACGCUGGAAUGAAGGGACACUGCCAAGGAUCAGGAAUACCAGGAGCUCAGCCCACUUACCAGGCUGAGCUGGGGAUGCUGAGAUUACUGUGCACACUCAGGCAGAGCUGGAAGCUGAGUCUGCCAUCCAGAAGGCUGGACCCAGACAGAGUUCAGGGAUCACACCAGAAUCGGGACACAGGAGAAGUUUGCUAACCUAGGUCCAACCCAGAAUCAGAUUCAGAUUCAGAGCAGGAGGUCAGCAGGACAGCUUUGUCCCCCAAAAGGAAUCAGGCGGAGGCCGGAGAGGCAGCUUGCCAGCUAGGAGAACACCUGAGCAGUCUUAAACCCAGGCAGGUUACUGGCAGUUGCUUCACCUUCUAGUGGCCUCACUUGCACACCAGCUUUCCCCAAGCAGAUAACCCCACAUAGCUGCAAAAUGAAUUAUUUUCUCUUGUCUGCUUCUAGAGGGUCCAUGACCAUUCUAUUGGCAGUUGGAGAGGUGAGAGUUAAACUGAAUGUGAGCCUGUGUCAGGGGCCAUGACCCAUUUUAAUGGAGGGUCUCUAACAGCACCAGUCUCUCGGUAGAUAUCACUCGAAUGGUGCUAAGCUACCUACUAGCAGAUUUAGCAGGGUGAUGCCUUUUGAAGUCUAAAGUUUUGACUGCUAAUCUCUGGGAAACAUGUCACAUCGUAUGCUAUUAUUUGGUGGUGGUGUCCAAAACCAACACAUUGGUCUUUCUCAGACGAGAAGGAUUCUUGGCACAGGCAAGCAGAGGGAAGUGUGUGGUAUGUGCGUCUUCCUGUAUCAGCUUGUGUUUCUCUUAUGCUGGAGACCUGAGGUGUCCACACUGGUGGAAAAAAAAUGCUGCCAGAUUUAAGGUGAGGAGCAAUGGCAUGAGUAAUCCUUUCAGAUAGAAGUUAGCAGUGCUGGACCUUGGAGGUUGCAGUUACAGCUGCCAACAUUCGAAAAUGGACUUAGUUAUUUUAGGAAGCCAAGUGCUGCACAUAGAGCCAACCUCAGUUGAGAUGCCUUGGGACCAGUACAUAGAAGGUGUUUAAGAUUCUACAGUUCCAUUUCAUCCUUUACAAAAUGUCCACCCUGAAUCUACAGCUUGCUUAUUGAAUCUUUGUGAAAUUUGAAGGGGAGAGGGAAACAGUAAUAUGACCCAACAUAAGAGAAGUACCAGCGAGCCUCUGUGGACACAGGUGUGUGCAUAACCACCAUCGCUCUAAUCCUUAGGUUCAUUCUUUCUCAUUUCAGUCAAAAAACUGAUUCUAAAAUUAAGGCAGACUGACACCCACUGCGUCCUAAACUGUAGAUGCAUUAAA
Molecule: long non-coding RNA, 1814 nt
Filed under: Homo sapiens (human)
Lineage: Eukaryota; Metazoa; Chordata; Mammalia; Primates; Hominidae
Description: HSALNT0037120
Source: RNAcentral